This 1522-nucleotide ribosomal RNA is filed under the name metagenome. RNAcentral's name for it is "bacterial SSU rRNA". It matches the Rfam family "Bacterial small subunit ribosomal RNA". The record is from RNAcentral.
AGAGUUUGAUCAUGGCUCAGAUUGAACGCUGGCGGCAGGCCUAACACAUGCAAGUCGAACGGUAACAGGAAACAGCUUGCUGUUUCGCUGACGAGUGGCGGACGGGUGAGUAAUGUCUGGGAAACUGCCUGAUGGAGGGGGAUAACUACUGGAAACGGUAGCUAAUACCGCAUAACGUCGCAAGACCAAAGAGGGGGACCUUCGGGCCUCUUGCCAUCAGAUGUGCCCAGAUGGGAUUAGCUAGUAGGUGGGGUAACGGCUCACCUAGGCGACGAUCCCUAGCUGGUCUGAGAGGAUGACCAGCCACACUGGAACUGAGACACGGUCCAGACUCCUACGGGAGGCAGCAGUGGGGAAUAUUGCACAAUGGGCGCAAGCCUGAUGCAGCCAUGCCGCGUGUAUGAAGAAGGCCUUCGGGUUGUAAAGUACUUUCAGCGGGGAGGAAGGGAGUAAAGUUAAUACCUUUGCUCAUUGACGUUACCCGCAGAAGAAGCACCGGCUAACUCCGUGCCAGCAGCCGCGGUAAUACGGAGGGUGCAAGCGUUAAUCGGAAUUACUGGGCGUAAAGCGCACGCAGGCGGUUUGUUAAGUCAGAUGUGAAAUCCCCGGGCUCAACCUGGGAACUGCAUCUGAUACUGGCAAGCUUGAGUCUCGUAGAGGGGGGUAGAAUUCCAGGUGUAGCGGUGAAAUGCGUAGAGAUCUGGAGGAAUACCGGUGGCGAAGGCGGCCCCCUGGACGAAGACUGACGCUCAGGUGCGAAAGCGUGGGGAGCAAACAGGAUUAGAUACCCUGGUAGUCCACGCCGUAAACGAUGUCGACUUGGAGGUUGUGCCCUUGAGGCGUGGCUUCCGGAGCUAACGCGUUAAGUCGACCGCCUGGGGAGUACGGCCGCAAGGUUAAAACUCAAAUGAAUUGACGGGGGCCCGCACAAGCGGUGGGGCAUGUGGUUUAAUUCGAUGCAACGCGAAGAACCUUACCUGGUCUUGACAUCCACGGAAGUUUUCAGAGAUGAGAAUGUGCCUUCGGGAACCGUGAGACAGGUGCUGCAUGGCUGUCGUCAGCUCGUGUUGUGAAAUGUUGGGUUAAGUCCCGCAACGAGCGCAACCCUUAUCCUUUGUUGCCAGCGGUCCGGCCGGGAACUCAAAGGAGACUGCCAGUGAUAAACUGGAGGAAGGUGGGGAUGACGUCAAGUCAUCAUGGCCCUUACGACCAGGGCUACACACGUGCUACAAUGGCGCAUACAAAGAGAAGCGACCUCGCGAGAGCAAGCGGACCUCAUAAAGUGCGUCGUAGUCCGGAUUGGAGUCUGCAACUCGACUCCAUGAAGUCGGAAUCGCUAGUAAUCGUGGAUCAGAAUGCCACGGUGAAUACGUUCCCGGGCCUUGUACACACCGCCCGUCACACCAUGGGAGUGGGUUGCAAAAGAAGUAGGUAGCUUAACCUUCGGGAGGGCGCUUACCACUUUGUGAUUCAUGACUGGGGUGAAGUCGUAACAAGGUAACCGUAGGGGAACCUGCGGUUG